UUGACCUCGGAUCAGGUAGGGAUACCCGCUGAACUUAAGCAUAUCAAUAAGCGGAGGAAAAGAAACCA
This 68-nucleotide ribosomal RNA is filed under the name Cladosporium sphaerospermum. RNAcentral describes it as "partial 28S ribosomal RNA". It matches the Rfam family "Eukaryotic large subunit ribosomal RNA", at positions 1 to 67 of the family's 3401-position model. Lineage: Eukaryota; Fungi; Ascomycota; Dothideomycetes; Cladosporiales; Cladosporiaceae. The record is from RNAcentral.